RNAcentral lists this ribosomal RNA (254 nucleotides) under uncultured bacterium. Its description in RNAcentral is "partial 16S ribosomal RNA". It matches the Rfam family "Bacterial small subunit ribosomal RNA", at positions 524 to 775 of the family's 1533-position model. The record is from RNAcentral.
UACGUAGGGGGCUAGCGUUGUCCGGAAUCAUUGGGCGUAAAGAGCGCGUAGGCGGCCCUGUAAGUCCGCUGUGAAAGUCAAGGGCUCAACCCUUGAAUGCCGGUGGAUACUGCAGGGCUAGAGUCCGGAAGAGGCGAGUGGAAUUCCUGGUGUAGCGGUGAAAUGCGUAGAUAUCGGGAAGGAACACCAGUGGCGAAGGCGACUACCUGGCCUGUUUCUUGACGCUGAGGCGCGAAAGCUAGGGGAGCAACGGG